GACGAACGCUGGCGGCGUGCUUAACACAUGCAAGUCGAACGGAAAGGCCCUGCUUUUGUGGGGUGCUCGAGUGGCGAACGGGUGAGUAACACGUGAGUAACCUGCCCUUGACUUUGGGAUAACUUCAGGAAACUGGGGCUAAUACCGGAUAGGAGCUCCUGCUGCAUGGUGGGGGUUGGAAAGUUUCGGCGGUUGGGGAUGGACUCGCGGCUUAUCAGCUUGUUGGUGGGGUAGUGGCUUACCAAGGCUUUGACGGGUAGCCGGCCUGAGAGGGUGACCGGCCAAAUUGGGACUGAGAUACGGCCAAGACUCCUACGGGAGGCAGCAGGGGGGAAUAUGGAAAAAUGGGCGGAAGCCUGAUGAAGCAACGCCGCGUGCGGGAUGACGGCCUUCGGGUGGUAAACCGCUUUCGCCUGUGACGAAGCGUGAGUAACGGUAAUGGGUAAAGAAGAACCGGCUAACUACGUG
RNAcentral lists this ribosomal RNA (468 nucleotides) under uncultured bacterium. RNAcentral's name for it is "partial 16S ribosomal RNA". It matches the Rfam family "Bacterial small subunit ribosomal RNA", at positions 28 to 507 of the family's 1533-position model. The record is from RNAcentral.